This is a long non-coding RNA of Ostrinia nubilalis (European corn borer), 1477 nucleotides long. RefSeq lists it as uncharacterized. NCBI's taxonomy places the organism in Eukaryota, Metazoa, Arthropoda, Insecta, Lepidoptera, Crambidae. The record is from RefSeq and is a predicted model, not a curated record. The transcript has 5 exons.
UUUCUGACAAGACCCGACUGGCAACACUGCAAAUAAUCACUAGUGGUCAUACGCCAACGUCACUCGCCCGAAGCCAUAAAAAAGAAAACAAAAACUUCCGGUUCCGGAAGAAAAAACAGCCAAGUGUUUUGCACUUUUGCAGCAUACUCUCUAAUCUGUGUUUUGCAGUGCACAAAAUCAGUGGUAGAACGUAGAACCUACAAGUUUUUUUGUUUUGCACGCUGUUUUAUUUAAUAAACGCUUCUGUUGUGCGAAUUGGACGCGUGACGUGCUGAAGAUUAAAGACUUUGCAUAAUGGAAUCAAAAAAAUUUUUUUUGGUUACAUUUUUAGAUGAAGAUGAUGCUCCUGGCAUAGUUUCAUCAAAGUGGUUAAGAUACCAACACUUGUUAUUACCCUAAUGUAUGCACUGAAGAAAUCAAAAACAAACUUGAAGAAGAUGCCUGCACCUGAAGCAACAUGGUCACAAUAUCAAAUAAAAAUACUUAAAAGUUAUGAAACUUAUGGCGAAGCACGAUUACAUUUAAAAAAAGCGGAAGAAACCUGAAAUUUGGACUCAGACGAAGCAGAAAAUGAUGUUACAAAUGAAGUGACAGUGGACAUAAUGUCUGCUGUAAAUUACCCAGUCACCUCCGGUUCUAAAGAGGCCAAGCAAACACAACUCAAAGCUGUUAACUGCCGAUCAGGUAACAGGUUUUUAUAACAUGCAAUGAGCUUCUCUCGUCAAAGAUGCAAUGCGACAAAAUUUCAUAUUUUCACUUGUUUUAGUUAUGACUUUUCCAUGUUUUUUUAUUUGUUACAGAGUGCAUUACAAACAAGCAAUAUGCUAUACAGCAGAGUCAUAUGAUUCAGAUUGUGUCAGACCUAGCUAACCAAAUGGCUGAAAUCAAUAGAAAAUUGGAUUUACCGUUAGCUAGGUCCGAAGAAACAUUUUCACCAACAGAUGACAAUGCAGGUCUUUCAGAACUUUUGGCAAGUCUACCAGUAAAGAUAUUGCAAGUUUUAAUAAUUUCGAUGACAAUUUAAAAAUAAACAAGAAUACAGGCAAUAGUAUGUAUAAAUUAAAUACUUAAACACAGGGCAAAUUUUAUUAUUCUAUGAAAACAUUCUAAUGCUACUUUAAUUAAAUUUCAGAUGUCAUUUUUGUCUGGUAUUGGCGGCAGAAAUGUAAGAAGCCUUACGACUAAUUUGUUGAGACGAAUAAUUCUAGAUGAUGUAGCCGAGUUGUAUUCGUUAACUGGGAAACAGAUGAAAAAUUCGAAUAAAAAGUCAUUUAUGAGUACAGAAACCUAUAAAUUAAUCUUUCAAAUAUGUAGAAAAAUCAACGAAGAUGUAACUGAAGACAGUCUAAAAGAAAUUAUAAGUGAUUGGCUAAAUCAAGCUAAAGUUAGACUUUCAAGAAGAGCAGAAACACAAAAUAAAGAAAUAAACCAAUAGCGGCGACCAUGAAACCGAUUUUUUCUCAUUUAAAGUAAGAUA